Molecule: long non-coding RNA, 268 nt
Organism: Anneissia japonica
Lineage: Eukaryota; Metazoa; Echinodermata; Crinoidea; Comatulida; Comatulidae
Exons: 3
Source: RefSeq, a predicted model, not a curated record
UACAACUUGAGGAAGACCAGCGGAUUCUGAGACAACAACAAGAAGAAUUUGUCGAAAAACUAAAAGAGGAUUGUAAACAAUCCAUAGAUGAACUUGAAGAGACGCUGAAUGCAAGGCACGCACGAGAAAUGAAUGAAUUGGUGAGGCAACAAACAGAGGAUAUAGAAUUGCUCCAUAAACGCUACAAACGAGAAUUAUCUGAACAAGCUGAGCAGAAUGAUCAGCUGACUGAAACAUUAAAAACAAAGCAUGCUGAUGAAAAAAGACU